Crocodylus porosus (Australian saltwater crocodile) is the source of this 1587-nucleotide long non-coding RNA. The record is from Ensembl. Lineage: Eukaryota; Metazoa; Chordata; Crocodylia; Crocodylidae.
UUUUAACUGAAACGUUGCCGUGCAGAAAUCAAGAACAACAGGGGGAGAAUCUUUCUCGGCUGUUAGGUUUUCAAACGAAAAGGGGUUUAAGCCGGGUGUUUGCUGCCCAGACUAAUGCACAAUGCGAAGCUGGUCAGACUUUUGAACCCCACUGGACAGAUUAGGUUACAAGGCAGGUUUGAUUUCAGCUCUGGCUGUCGGCAGGGGAAGGGUUAACUGGAGACGCGGCAUGUUAACUGUAUCUGCGGCGAUUCUGGAAUGUUUAUCCAGUGUUCAGAUUUCCUGUUUGAGUGUUUGGAUUUCCUGAAAUCCCGGCUAUCAACCCAAGUGCUGCCCCGCGAGCAGACUCUUUUUUUUUGUUCGUGUGGCUCACAUGGUUGGCUUUCCUUCCUGCUCUCUUCCCAGCCGUAGUGCCUGUGUCUCCUCACUGCUCAGGGCAUUCAUGGAUGCAAACCAAAACUUCUAACCUCCAGAACUCGGUGGAUCCCCCUCCAUUGGAUUGCACUGGAUUGGAAUUUUUUUUUUUCUGACUGGGAUUAAUACCUGAAGAAACAUGGUCUCUUUCAGCUGCUUGUGGGAGGAUAUAUUUUAGCCUAAGAUGGAAUAAUGGCCUUAGGUUUGAGAAGCAAAUUUGGAAUGGGAAUUCAAACCACACAAGUCCUGGUACGUGAAGAUUUUGGAAGUUCUAAACAAUGGCAUUUUUUGGUCCUCCCACAUCUCGCGCAGUACUUUAGAUUGAAUCCUGUUCAUCUUAUCCAAAGCCAGAGUCAAAGUCACCAGUGGAUUUCUGUAAGCAAGGCUGACAGGAUAAGCCUUUUCUCCUUUCCUUCCAUUAAGCUGGCAGUUAUGCUGUUUUCCUUGCAUUCAGGUUGUGAUGCUGAAAAGAAAAUAAUCAUUACUUUAUUUGAUACACGGGAAGUCAAGAUACCACACUUUGCACAGACACUUACAAUCAGAUGAGUAGCUCAAUAGAAGCCAAGGAGGGAUGUAAUUGGGAACUUCUGAACCACAUAGGGAUGUGUCAGAUUAGACUUUUGGUGAUAAUCGUGUGUGGAAAAGGCCAUGCAUUAAUUUAGCUCUUAGGUGAUAAUCUCAUGUCCAUACUGGCCUAUCUACAACACUCGUAGGAACCUGAAAUGAAUGAGUUUCUAAAUCAGAAAGUCCCUAAUGAUAGUCUAAUGUCAGAAAAUUCAGAGGGUGAGCGGAGAUUAAAUGUUAAAAAAGGCUUAUCAGUCUCUUGGGUUUGAAAAUAUGGUUGAUGAUCUAAUGAGAACAAGUUUUUUAUCUGUACUUCUGGUUUGGGUUAGGGUGGAAAUAGCUUUUCUGGUGGUAUUUUGGUAUUUCCUCUUUCGCUCACGCCCAGAACCAGGAAGUGUAGAAGCAUAACCUUUAUUUCUUUGUGUGUGCUUUUUUCUAAUUGUGACCUCUCUCUUCCUUUCCUUUUCUUUUUUUUUUUUAACACAGCCCUCAAAUAUUUUAGAGUUAGUUUGAUUUAGACGUUAGACAUUAUUUAGAAGUCUUUCUGCAACUGCAGAAAGCUAUUUUUCUUUCAAUAUGAGUAACUAAAAUACUAGUUUUAAAUAUUCA